GACGAACGCUGGCGGCGUGCUUAACACAUGCAAGUCGAGCGGAAAGGCCCUUCGGGGUACUCGAGCGGCGAACGGGUGAGUAACACGUGAGUAACCUGCCCUGGACUUUGGGAUAACCCUCGGAAACGGGGGCGUAAUACCGGAUAUGACCUGUCAUCGCAUGGUGGUGGGUGGAAAGUUUUUCGGUCUGGGAUGGGCUCGCGGCCUAUCAGCUUGUUGGUGGGGUCACGGCUCACCAAGGCGACGACGGGUAGCCGGCCUGAGAGGUGACCGGCCACACUGGGACUGAGACACGGCCCAGACUCCUACGGGAGGCAGCAGUGGGGAAUAUUGCGCAAUGGGCGGAAGCCUGACGCAGCGACGCCGCGUGAGGGAUGACGGCC
RNAcentral lists this ribosomal RNA (383 nucleotides) under uncultured bacterium. RNAcentral describes it as "bacterial SSU rRNA". It matches the Rfam family "Bacterial small subunit ribosomal RNA", at positions 28 to 416 of the family's 1533-position model. The record is from RNAcentral.